Long non-coding RNA from Passer domesticus (house sparrow), 496 nucleotides. RefSeq lists it as uncharacterized. The transcript has 3 exons. NCBI's taxonomy places the organism in Eukaryota, Metazoa, Chordata, Aves, Passeriformes, Passeridae. The record is from RefSeq and is a predicted model, not a curated record.
CCAGGGUCGCAGUUGGGUCAGUCUGCUACACUUAAUACACCUACCAAGAGCUGUAUAGGCAGCUCUGCCUUGAAAGUUCAGCCCUCAGAGAUUUGAAUCAGGCCUAGAUCUGAAGGCCAAACAUCAUUAAGAUAGGGGAUGGCUUUUCUUUCAACAAUCUCCAUCCAGGCCAGGCAGAUUCUGCUCCACAGGGACCAUCUAAGAGGCCAGCACAACCAGGCAACAGAAUCCCAAGGAUUUAGUCUUGUGGGGAUACAAAAUGAUCAGCAGUCAAGUAGCUCACUCCAAGAAGUAAUUCAUGGGUUGUUUACAGCACCAGUGGUUAAGGAAUGACCUCAGCAGCAAGCUUAGGAAUGACCCCUCUCCUGUGGCAAGAGAAAGCUGCUGUACUGUCAUACCACUGACUAAUUAAAGCUAAUUAAAGCAAAUGGAAACCCUCAUCUGACUGGAAAAUAAAAACAAAUGGAGAAUCAGGAACAUGCAACACAUGAAACGA